This 517-nucleotide ribosomal RNA is filed under the name uncultured bacterium. RNAcentral's name for it is "bacterial SSU rRNA". It matches the Rfam family "Bacterial small subunit ribosomal RNA", at positions 373 to 880 of the family's 1533-position model. The record is from RNAcentral.
GGACGAAAGUCUGACGGAGCAACGCCGCGUGAGUGAUGAAGGUUUUCGGAUCGUAAAACUCUGUUGUUAGGGAAGAACAAGUACCGUUCGAAUAGGGCGGUACCUUGACGGUACCUAACCAGAAAGCCACGGCUAACUACGUGCCAGCAGCCGCGGUAAUACGUAGGUGGCAAGCGUUGUCCGGAAUCAUUGGGCGUAAAGCGCGCGCAGGUGGUUCCUUAAGUCUGAUGUGAAAGCCCCCGGCUCAACCGGGGAGGGUCAUUGGAAACUGGGGAACUUGAGUGCAGAAGAGGAAAGUGGAAUUCCACGUGUAGCGGUGAAAUGCGUAGAGAUGUGGAGGAACACCAGUGGCGAAGGCGACUUUCUGGUCUGUAACUGACACUGAGGCGCGAAAGCGUGGGGAGCGAACAGGAUUAGAUACCCUGGUAGUCCACGCCGUAAACGAUGAGUGCUAAGUGUUAGGGGGUUUCCGCCCCUUAGUGCUGCAGCAAACGCAUUAAGCACUCCGCCUGGGGAG